This 253-nucleotide ribosomal RNA is filed under the name uncultured bacterium. RNAcentral describes it as "partial 16S ribosomal RNA". It matches the Rfam family "Bacterial small subunit ribosomal RNA", at positions 524 to 776 of the family's 1533-position model. The record is from RNAcentral.
UACGGAGGGUGCGAGCGUUGGCUGGAAUCACUGGGUUUAAAGGGUGCGUCGGCGGCUCGGUAAGUCAGUUGUGAAAGCCCCUUGCUUAACGAGGGAGGUGCGAUUGGUACUGUCGAGCUUGAAUCGGGAUGAGGCAGGCGGAAUGUGGCAUGUAGCGGUGAAAUGCAUAGAUAUGCCAUAGAACACCGAUUGCGAAGGCAGCCUGCUGGGCCUGUAUUGACGGUGAGGCACGAGAGCGUGGGGAGCAAACAGG